RNAcentral lists this ribosomal RNA (481 nucleotides) under uncultured bacterium. RNAcentral's name for it is "bacterial SSU rRNA". It matches the Rfam family "Bacterial small subunit ribosomal RNA", at positions 28 to 505 of the family's 1533-position model. The record is from RNAcentral.
GACGAACGCUGGCGGCGUGCUUAAUACAUGCAAGUCGAACGGAAGUAGCAAUACUUUAGUGGCGCACGGGUGAGGAACACGUAGAUGAUCUGCCCUUGAGAUCGAGAUAACCCCGGGAAACUGGGGCUAAUACCGGAUAAUGCAUUAUUAUUGGAUUAAUAAUGUUAAAGCGGCGCAAGUCGCACUUGAGGAUGAGUCUGCGACCUAUCAGCUAGUUGGCGGUGUAAUGGACCACCAAGGCAAAGACGGGUAGCUGAUCUGAGAGGAUGAUCAGCCACACUGGAACUGAGACACGGUCCAGACUCCUACGGGAGGCAGCAGUGAGGAAUCUUGCGCAAUGGGGAACCCUGACGCAGCAACGCCGCGUGAGUGAGGAAGGCCUUCGGUCGUAAAGCGUCUGUCAGAUGGGAAGAAUGGAUGGGGCGUAAGUAUCGCCCGAUCCUUGACGGUACCGAUCACGAGGAAGCACCGGCUAACUCCG